GACGAACGCUGGCGGCGUGCUUAACACAUGCCAGUCGAGCGGAAAGGCCCUGCUUUUGUGGGGUGCUCGAGUGGCGAACGGGUGAGUAACACGUGAGUAACCUGCCCUUGACUUUGGGAUAACUUCAGGAAACUGGGGCUAAUACCGGAUAGGAGCUCCUGCUGCAUGGUGGGGGUUGGAAAGUUUCGGCGGUUGGGGAUGGACUCGCGGCUUAUCAGCUUGUUGGUGGGGUAGUGGCUUACCAAGGCUUUGACGGGUAGCCGGCCUGAGAGGGUGACCGGCCACAUUGGGACUGAGAUACGGCCCAGACUCCUACGGGAGGCAGCAGUGGGGAAUAUUGCACAAUGGGCGGAAGCCUGAUGCAGCAACGCCGCGUGCGGGAUGACGGCCUUCGGGUUGCAAACCGCUUUCGCCUGUGACGAAGCGUGAGUGACGGUAAUGGGUAAAGAAGCACCGGCUAACUACGUG
Molecule: ribosomal RNA, 468 nt
Filed under: uncultured bacterium
Lineage: Bacteria
Description: partial 16S ribosomal RNA
Rfam family: Bacterial small subunit ribosomal RNA
Source: RNAcentral